GGCUGUUCUCAGGUGACGCACCCCAGAAUUGGGUUCCUUUCUCUCUGGUUCUGUGUGCGUCGCCUAAGAACUGCA
Molecule: non-coding RNA, 75 nt
Organism: Myotis davidii
Lineage: Eukaryota; Metazoa; Chordata; Mammalia; Chiroptera; Vespertilionidae
Source: Rfam